RNAcentral lists this ribosomal RNA (301 nucleotides) under uncultured bacterium. RNAcentral describes it as "partial 16S ribosomal RNA". It matches the Rfam family "Bacterial small subunit ribosomal RNA", at positions 509 to 807 of the family's 1533-position model. The record is from RNAcentral.
CAGUAGCCGCGGGAAUGCGUAGGGUGCGAGCGUCAAUCGGAAUUACUGGGCGUAAAGCGUGCGCAGGCGGUUGUGUAAGACAGGUGUGAAAUCCCCGGGCUUAACCUGGGAACUGCGCUUGUGACUGCACAGCUAGAGUAUGGCAGAGGGGGGUGGAAUUCCACGUGUAGCAGUGAAAUGCGUAGAGAUGUGGAGGAACACCGAUGGCGAAGGCAGCCCCCUGGGCCAAUACUGACGCUCAUGCACGAAAGCGUGGGGAGCAAACAGGAUUAGAUACCCGUGUAGUCCCUGUCUCUUAUAC